CAAGAGCAGAGCGCGGACUGAGCCCGGCGCUGUGGGAGCAUCCCGGGCAGCCGCCUUGUUGUGCCGGUCCCUCUGCCCGGGCGGGGCGGCCGCACCGCUGCUGCGGGAAAUCUCCCAGCUCCUCGCCGGAGCACCCCCGCUCGUCCUUCUCUAGCAGCCCUGGCGUCUCAUGCACGGCUAGGCAGAGACUGCACCGGAGUCCGAUCUCCCACCUGGGAAAUGGAGACCAGAGAAUUCAGUCUUUGUACUAUGGAAGUGUUGCCGUAUACAAUACAGGAUGGGGUACAACUGCCAGAUGAGUGGAAGGAACUGGUUCAGCAAAGGGCUUGCCAGGAGGACCAACUGUCUCCAGAUGACCCUCCUCCCCCAAAUCCUAAGAGGAAAGAAAAAGGAAGGAAACCGUCAGGGCAUAUGUAAUACAGCAGUGAUUCUCAAACUUUUGUACUGGUGACCCCUUUCACAUAGCAAACCCCUGAG
Molecule: long non-coding RNA, 477 nt
Organism: Trachemys scripta elegans
Lineage: Eukaryota; Metazoa; Chordata; Testudines; Emydidae
Exons: 3
Source: RefSeq, a predicted model, not a curated record